RNAcentral lists this long non-coding RNA (8147 nucleotides) under Brassica napus (rape). RNAcentral's name for it is "long non-coding RNA (BNAP_LNC021760)". Lineage: Eukaryota; Viridiplantae; Streptophyta; Magnoliopsida; Brassicales; Brassicaceae. The record is from RNAcentral.
AAAAGAGAGUUGCUGAGUUAGCCAUAUCACAGAAAAUAGAUGAAAGACACCAUCGCCGCCGGGUUUUAACAGGUAUCGCCGGAAACAAUGGCUUCACGUAUUAUAGAUGGAGAUUUCGACGCCGGUUAGAUGAACGGUCUAAGCAUUCGCUGGAAAAAAAAAGAAAAGAAAAAAAGCAAUCUUCGGCGACGCUAAGAGAAUAGGAAACGGAAGUGUUUCUGAAAAAGGUAGUCCAGCAAGUAACAAUAUCACAAAGCCCAUAUGAAUUAAAGCUCUGCGUUUUGGGAGAAACGGGACACGUGUCGGCUCCAGGGAGCUUGAAUUGAUGACGUGGCAUCCGAGCUGGACCCUCUGGGAGUGAUUCAAAGUCUUCUUUAUAUAUAAAGAUAUAUAUAUAUAUAUAUAUAUAUAUGUAUGUAUUUUCCAAUCCACCAUAUUUGAUUUAAAUUAUUCACUAUUUACUUAAUUGGUUCGACACAACAAAAUUUGUUCACAUUCAGGGAUAACUAUUAGAAGGUCGGCUCACCGGAAACAUUCAACCGAAUGAUUCAAAAAACUUAACCGAAGGAGAUAUAUAUGAGUUUUCAGGAUUUUCUGUCAUACAUAAUUCACGACAUCGGAAACUUACCCAACUGCCGUAUUACAUUCAGAUCGACCAAAAGACAAUAACAUUGAACGUUACAGUCAACGGUCCGAUAUUUCCAGUUCACAAUUUAUCUCCUCAAAAUUACAGAAAUCUAUUGCGGUUAGCCACUACACCCACAUACUUACCAGGUAAGUAAGUCAUUCCAGUAUUAAUUAAACAAACAUGGAUGUUUAUUCUAAAAUCAAUGUGCAGAUGUCGUCGGGCAGAUAGUCAUAAUACAAAAAAUAAAACCGUACCAUCCAGAACUCAAUAUUGAUGCCACGAUUGGUCUAUGGCUGAACAGGUAAGUCUAACACAAUAGUUAAAAACGAAAUAAUAAUUAUCUUCAUACAUACAUCUCUAUCUCAGGUCGACAAUUGUUAAACUCAUACUGUGCGACAAGCAAGCAGCAAAUUUUAGCAUCCUACAAAGCAAGAAGGAUAGGAAAUUUAAAGUUGUCAUCAUCACAAGCAUAAUUCCUAAACUUUUCCAAGGUAAAUAAUUUUGUUAAACACAUCAAAACAUAAUACAUAUCUAUUUUUUUUUAUCAACAGAACAAUAAUAUUCAAUAUUUUCCAUGCAAACUACUACUCAGUUCAUCACCAGCAACAAAAUUUCUACUUCAACAAAUCAAUUGAUUACAUAAAGCAUUUCAAAAGGCAAAUAAGAGAUCAUGCAAAACCAUGCAGCAAAGAGUGAUUCUAAUUCAUUCAUCAUUCGGAUUGUUAUUCUCUUUCUCACAAGACUUGAUACCUAGAUUUAUUUACAUUUUAAACUAUUUUAUCAUUGUUUUCUUUAGAUUUCUACUUCUAUAUAAAAUCUAAAACUCAACUUCUGUCUUUCAAUCUUUGCUAAGCAAUUUAAAUAUAUAGAAAAUAAAUUAAAAAACAUAAGUGAUGUCUACGUGUUAGUGAGCAAGAAAGCAUGAUUAGAGUGAAUAAGAAGUCUACUAUAAAGAUGAAGGUUAUUAAGAGAAAAAAUUGUGUAGAGUUUGUGAAUUUUCAAAAUUUACUUGGAUAAGAAAAUAUAUAUACACUGACUUACAAAAUUUGAUCAAACUUUUGUAAAUUGCUACUUCUUGAAUAUUUUUCGAAUUAUUUCGAAUUUGUUUCUCUAUAUUUUUCAAAUUGAAACUAUUUUUAUUUUAAAUUUGAAAAGAAUUUCGAUUUUUUAUAACAUAUAAUUUGAAAGCUAUAUUAAACUUAAAAUAUAUAAUUUCAAUUUUCAGUUUUCCACUAUUACACGUAAAAAUAUGAUUACGUACGCUUUUUUUUAAAAGAAGGUUUUAUAUUUUAAAUAGGUUAUUGGAGUACUUUUUAUUUUCGUAAAUUUAUUCGAGAUGAGAUUCCGAUCUUUUAAAAUAAGAGACUUUAUGUUCUAUACAUAAUUAUAUUGUUUUAGAUUUCUUCAUAUUUUAAUAGUUAAUUGUGUUACAUAUAAUAUAAAUACUUAUUUCAAACUAAAAUAUUUAAAAAACAAAUUUUAAAAUUAGUUAAGUUAAGUUAAAAAUGAUAAAUGUAACAAAUUUAAUAUAUUAUCCGGAUCUAGUAUAUUUAAGAUGAAAGGAGAGCAUAACAUACUUAAUACAAUUUAUUUAUUUAUUAAUAUACAUAUAAAUUACAAGAUGGCUUAAAAUUAUAAACAAAAAUAAAUAUUUACCUAUUAGUUUUAUAAAAUAUUUGUAUCAUGAGUAAUCACCUAGUUCAUAAUAAUGGGAAGUUGAAUGAUUACAAAUGUGUUAAAAGUUUUUUUUUUUUUAUCAAACAAAUGUGUUAAAGUUAACGUCGUUGAAUCUUCCAUGAAUCUUCCUCUCAACUUUGUGUCUUCUUAUUUACUUACUUGUCUUUGGACUCUUUUAUGUGGUUCUGUGUCAUCGUUGAAUAUUCCUCUCCACUCGCCUCUUCUUAUCUAUUUACUCGUCUUUGGAUUCUUUUGUGUUGUUUUGCUUCAUUGUUGUUAUUUUUCUCUUUGCUCGAAAUCAUUAUUGUGUUCCUGUUCUUCAGUUUCUUGAGUUUUCUCUCUAAUUCAUGGCUUCUUCUUCUUCUUCUUCUUCUCUCACGUGGACGCAUGAUGUCUUCCCGAGAGACUUUGCAUAAGUAAUGUUUUAUCUAUCUCAAAAUUUGACAGCUCCAGAUAUGUUGGUUUACCGUUCACGACGAUCCAUAGAUUUCAUGCAUUCUUCAUGUUCUCCUGUGCAUAGAAAAAUUAUGGCAUAGAGAUAGUUACUGAGAUAAUUACCUUUACCACAAUGGUUGUUUGCCAAUAUGCAAAGAUGUUUCAGCCUUGUUGAGGGUUUUUUUCAUUGCCAAAAUGUUUUGUUUUUCUAAUAUUAAUUCUUGUACAGAAAAAACAAUUUUUUUGCAUUAAUUUUAAAUUAAAAAAUUAUAAUGAUUAAUUUAUUUUCAAUUAAAAUAUUUCUCUAUUUUCAUUUCAUUUUCUUAUUUAUAUUAAUAUUUACUCAAAAUAUAGUUGUUUCAUCAUUAAAAUUUAUAAAAAUGUGAUUGUUUUAAUUUUGUUCCCAAUAUUUGUUCUAUUUUAACUUUGUUAUUAAGUAAAAUAGUUUUAAAAAUGUACUCGAUUAUGUUCAACACAUAAAACAUGAAUUAAAUUUUGAUGUUAAUUUUCUGAAUUUGGCGACACUUUUUUCUUUUAUACAUUUUCUUUAAAUUACUAAGUCAUACAAUGCGAAAAUAGGUUAUUUAUUAUAAUAAAAUUACUUUAAAUAGGUAGGUACAGGAAAACCUAUACAAAUUAUAAUUUUUUAUAAAUAUAUAUAUGUUUAAAUUUUAAAUGUUAUUAUUUUUAAAAUAAAAUAAAUCAUGUUUUCUGAAUUAAUAAUUACGGUUUCAAAGUAAAUGAUGCUGAUUAAUUUUAAAAUUUGAUUUUACAUUGAAUUUAUUAUAACCAAUUUAUGUUAUUUUUUUAAUUGGAUAUAUCUUAUUAGUAAAUAAAUAUUUUAUUUGUAAGAUAUUAUAAUUUUUUAAAAUUAAUUACUUUAUAUAUAAAAUAUUCAAAAUUACUAUACAUUUAUAGUGAAUGACAUUUAGCCAUCAAAUUUAUAUCAUUUAAAUAGAAGUUCUAAAUUUAUUACAAAUAUAUUAAUAUAACUAAAUUUAUUAAUUACAUUAGUUUAAAUAAAUUAUAAUGUAUUUUUGGCGAUGUAAAAUGUUAAAUGAUUUUUGUAUCUCUUUUUUAUUAUUCACAUGUAAGUAAAUUAUAGAAAACGGUAAUAACAUUUUAUAGGGGAAAUUUCAUGUUUACCACUUUCAUGGUACCUCUUUUCAUUUUUACAUCCACUAAAGGGACAUUUUCAAAAAUACAUUCUUCAAUAAGUGGCAAAAGACUCUUAUACUUUUGUUCUCUAUAUAUAUAAUAAAUCAUUAUUUAAAUAAAUAAAAACAAAUAAAAAAAUCUAUUUUGUUCAUGUUUUCGAAUUAUACUUGUUCAAAUUCGAAUUUUUUUAUAAUUUUUUUUUGAAUUUUUUUUUUGAACUUUUUUUAUUUUUUUCAAAAUUUUUUUUUGAAAAUCGAAAAUUAUGUAUGAAACUAUUUUUAAUUUUUUUUAAAAAAUGUUAAGUAUUUAUUUAUAUAUUUAUUAGAAUCCUUAAUUGCAUAUUCCAAACAUCCUACCUCAACUCUAAACCCUAAGUCUAGAUUAGUUAACCUUAUGGAUAUAAGUGUCUUUUACUCUUCUUUAAAAAUGAGGGUAAAAGUGAUUAGUGUAGACAUGAAAAAUGGUAUUAUGAAUGUGGUAUUUGUGGUAAUUUCUUCAUUUUAUAUUCAAUUGACAAAAAGUACUUUGUGUUCAAAAUGUACCAUUGAAUAAAUAUUUAUGGAUUAUUUUUAUAAAACGUGUUAAAAUAUUUGGUUUAGAUGUGUGUUAAACAAAAGUUAUGGAUGAUUUUAUAAUUCUUGACGUAAUUUGCUGACCUAUCAGUUUUUCCUUCACCUAUUAGAAAUAAUUAUACUAACUGUUCAAAGUUUCAAACGAAUAUUCAGUUUCAAACAUAUUACACCACUUUCAAAAAUAAGUUUCGAACCCACGUUGUACUAACUUAUUGAUGAAAGAUGCUGACAUCACAAGUUUACAACAAUAACAGAGAAGAAAAAACAACUUGCAAUAAAAAUCUUAAACAAACACAAAUUGUAACUCAAGCUGAAAUAAAUACAAAAAGGAACCAAGAUACACUUAGUAAUUUCACGUGGAGAACACGUACGUGUUUCAGGUGCUACUUUCAGUUCCUGCAAUUUUGCAGAAACAACAAUUGCAUUGUGCACGAUCAUCUUCUUUUUGGAUAAAGAAUUCCCAUACUUUUGCUCUAUGAGCAAUUGAUUACCUUGGUUUUUGUGGAAGAGCAGAGCUUGGUCUUUCAGUUUCUUUUCUUCUCUUUCCAGCAAGAGAAGGUUCCGGAGCUUCUUCUCCUUGAAUCUCAUUGUCAAGCAUCGUUCUGAUCAUAAGAAGAAGUUAAAUCCAUCUGCAAAAAAGAAAAACAUUCACAAUCAGUUAUUUAUAAACACUUAAAACACUGCAAAACUUUUGUCUUUUAUCUAUAAAGAGUCUUUGUGUAGGACAAACAUGCGAGAGUCAAAAAUUUAUACAAACUUUUGGAAGUAUUGACGCCAGGAUAAUAUAACCACUGAUUUUGAUUGGAGAUCUGGUCUUCACUCCAAAUUUCAGUCCAAAGUCUCUAAGUCGUAAAUUAGUUGUCUUGAGAAAUUGAUCUCGCAAGCUAUUGUUUUACAUCAAAAACAAAUACAUAGACUCUUCGUACGGUUUGUCAUAUAGUAGAUUAUGUUCAAAGGUUUGUUUAUACUGACCUGCUUGUGUGUCGUGAAUCUCAGGCUCCGUCUCCUUUCACUCUGACUCUACAAUCCUGGAUCUCGCUCUUUCUUCUCCAGCUGAUCUCUCACCGUACCACCUCCUUAUGCACCUAUCGAAGACUAAUCUAUGACACAUAGGAACAAAACAAAUAAAAAUGCAUCAGCUAACAGAAAUAAAUGGAAAACCGAAUGAAAAAGGAGGAGGUUUAAGCAAUCAAUACCUAAAAAUAUGUCUAUGUUUUGUAUAUCCAUUUGAAGUAGGGAUGGUGGCUGAUGAUCUUCAAGCUUCCCUGCUAAACAUAAUAAGGAACUACAUAUACAUGAUAUGAAACUUUAAAAGAAGAAUUUGAAAAUAAUAUUUCCUCAAGUUUCGAUAUGAAACUGUCCCCUCGAACACUCGGAAUAUUUCUAUUAGUUCAUCCUAUGCUGAUUCCUAAACCAAAUUUCAUUUGGAGUUUUAUUAUCUGAGCUCGUUGAUUAAUCUUCACUGUAACUAAAAGGUUUUAGUGUAUACAUACUAUACCUGAGAGGUGUUUUGGGCCAUUAUAUAAAUGUCUCCAUUGCCAUCAAACGUAGAUGACGAUCAUCAUCUCCCAAAGUUCUGCAUUUCAAUUCUUCCACAUCGAUUUCAUCACUUUCUUUGGUUUCUCACGAACAGCAUAUAUAAAUAUCAGCUAAUCCAUCUUAUCAUCAGUUCCAUGGUCUGUUCGUAUAAAAGGUUGUAUUUUGAGUAAGACCAAAGUAAACAACGACAUACCAUCUGAGUCUUUGUCGAGGAGACAGAAAGCUUCGUAAAACUCUUGGUCUGCUCAUCGGUGAAAGCAACAGCUAUAGGUUAAAGCUUUCCGCCAUCUUCGAUCACAAACAGAAAAGAGAGUUGAUGAGUUAGCCAUAUCACAGAAAAUAGAUGAACUUUGGUGUUUUCACAGAAUGAGAAGAUGAUAUCGGAGUAAAGGAGGCUAACAUUUAUAUAACAGAUCGGGUGAGAAGUGGGAGAUGUUGUUGAUGAGGCGACGAUUGUAUGAAUCUGAUUAUCGUAAUGUUUCCAAGAAUUUAUUUUUUUGUUGGUGAGUUGGAAAUCAAUUGAAAGACACCAUCGCCGCCGGGUUUUAACAGGUAUCGCCGGAAACAAUGGCUUCACGUAUUAUAGAUGGAGAUUUCGACGCCGGUUAGAUGAACGGUCUAAGCAUUCGCUGGAAAAAAAAAGAAAAGAAAAAAAGCAAUCUUCGGCGACGCUAAGAGAAUAGGAAACGGAAGUGUUUCUCAAAAAGGUAGUCCAGCAAGUAACAAUAUCACAAAGCCCCUAUGAAAAAAACCCAUCUGAAUUAAAGCUCUGCGUUUUCGGAGAAACGGGACACGUGUCGGCUCCAGGGAGCUUGAAUUGAUGACGUGACAUCCGAGCUGGACCCCCUGGGAAUGAUUCAAGCUCUUCUUUAUAUAUAAAGAUAUAUAUUAGUAUUUAAUUAUGACUAUCUCAAAAAUACAGAAAGUUUAAUCCAAAGUAUUUUCUUUGAAGUAUUUUGGAUUGGGUUUCUCUUAAUUUUGAGAUAUUCACAAUUAAAUACUAAUACAUAUAUAUAUAUAUAUAUAUAUAUAUAUAUAUCCAAGGGACACACUUAAAAUAGCAUAAUUGUAAUCAACACUUUAAGCUGAGGUACAUGUAGUAAAAGAUCAAACGAGGGAGCAUCAGGCACAUAACAGACCCAUAGUACCGACUUCAGGACGAUGGUGCUUCAUAGAUGGUUCAUGGAAAGACAAGAACUUAUUUUCAGGGCAAGGCUGGUAUAGCACUUUACAGGGUUUUGAUGGUUUACUAGGGGCAAGGAAUGUAAGGGCAUGUCUUUCACCUCUACAUUCGAAGGUGGAGGUAUUAAGACAGUUUCAGGUUACGUUUGCAACAGAUUGUUCUCAAUUGGUGAAGAUGGUUUCAGAACCAGAAGAAUGACCAGCAUUUGGAAGUUACCUGGAAGACAUUAAGCUUUUAAAAAGAAGUUUCAUCAACUCAGACAUCGUUCAUGUACCCCGGACGGAGAACCUACGGGCGGAUAGCUUAGCACGCAGUGCUAGGAAACAACCGUCUUUCGUCAUUCAUACGGAUGCGGAGUUACCAAUUUGGUUUAAAGAGUCAAUAUGAGUCUAUAAAUGUUUGUUGCAAAAAAAAAACAUAUAUAUAAAUAUAUGUAUAUUGAAAACCAUGUUAAGAAUUCCCCAUUGGGGAUAUUCUAAUCGUCUAGUUAAUCAAUAGGAUGGCACCACGUAAGCCAUCAAACGACACCAUUCUGAUCACUACGAGUGAGUAGAUACAAACACUUCCAUGAAAAGUUUUGCUUAAUAACACCGUUAUGCAUUUUAUCAUAUUAGUAUAUUUUUAAAAAAUUUACACAUAUUAAAAAUAUUUUUGUUUUUAUAUUUUAUCUUGAUCUAAUAUAUUGUUUUAAAUUUUAAAUAACACAAUAAAAACUUCAAAAAUAUGCAAUCUUCGGCGACGCUAAGAGAAUAGGAAACGGAAGUGUUUCUCAAAAAGGUAGUCCAGCAAGUAACAAUAUCACAAAGCCCCUAUGAAAAAAACCCAUCUGAAUUAAAGCUCUGCGUUUUCGGAGAAACGGGACACGUGUCGGCUCCAGGGAGCUUGAAUUGAUGACGUGACAUCCGAGCUGGACCCCCUGGGAAUGAUUCAAGCUCUUCUUUAUAUAUAAAGAUAU